This 491-nucleotide ribosomal RNA is filed under the name uncultured bacterium. Its description in RNAcentral is "partial 16S ribosomal RNA". It matches the Rfam family "Bacterial small subunit ribosomal RNA", at positions 29 to 506 of the family's 1533-position model. The record is from RNAcentral.
AGUGAACGCUGGCGGUAGGCCUAACACAUGCAAGUCGAACGGCAGCACAGUAAGAGCUUGCUCUUACGGGUGGCGAGUGGCGGACGGGUGAGGAAUACAUCGGAAUCUACUUUUUCGUGGGGGAUAACGUAGGGAAACUUACGCUAAUACCGCAUACGACCUACGGGUGAAAGCAGGGGAUCUUCGGACCUUGCGCGAUUGAAUGAGCCGAUGUCGGAUUAGCUAGUUGGCGGGGUAAAGGCCCACCAAGGCGACGAUCCGUAGCUGGUCUGAGAGGAGGAUCAGCCACACUGGAACUGAGACACGGCCCAGACUCCUACGGGAGGCAGCAGUGGAGAAUAUUGGACAAUGGGCGCAAGCCUGAGCCAGCCAUACCGCGUGGGUGAAGAAGGCCUUCGGGUUGUAAAGCCCUUUUGUUGGGAAAGAAAAGCAGCAGGUUAAUACCCCGCUGUUCUGACGGUACCCAAAGAAUAAGCACCGGCUAACUUCGC